Molecule: transfer RNA, 72 nt
Filed under: Bacteriophage sp.
Description: tRNA-Glu
Rfam family: tRNA
About the family: Transfer RNA (tRNA) molecules are approximately 80 nucleotides in length.
Source: RNAcentral
GCUGGGUUCGAAUAACGGUUAGUUCGUGGCACUUUCUAUGCUAAAAUACGGGUUCGAUUCCCGUACCCAGUA